UAGGGAAUCUUCCGCAAUGGGCGAAAGCCGGACGGAGCAACGCCGCGUGAGUGAUGAAGGUCUUCGGAUCGUAAAACUCUGUUAUUAGGGAAGAACAAAUGUGUAAGUAACUAUGCACGUCUUGACGGUACCUAAUCAGAAAGCCACGGCUAACUACGUGCCAGCAGCCGCGGUAAUACGUAGGUGGCAAGCGUUAUCCGGAAUUAUUGGGCGUAAAGCGCGCGUAGGCGGUUUUUUAAGUCUGAUGUGAAAGCCCACGGCUCAACCGUGGAGGGUCAUUGGAAACUGGAAAACUUGAGUGCAGAAGAGGAAAGUGGAAUUCCAUGUGUAGCGGUGAAAUGCGCAGAGAUAUGGAGGAACACCAGUGGCGAAGGCGACUUUCUGGUCUGUAACUGACGCUGAUGUGCGAAAGCGUGGGGAUCAAACAGG
RNAcentral lists this ribosomal RNA (429 nucleotides) under Actinomycetes bacterium. Its description in RNAcentral is "Actinobacteria bacterium partial 16S ribosomal RNA". It matches the Rfam family "Bacterial small subunit ribosomal RNA", at positions 355 to 776 of the family's 1533-position model. The record is from RNAcentral. Lineage: Bacteria; Bacillati; Actinomycetota; Actinomycetes.